AUGUACAUUCCUAUAGCAUAGAAUUAAUUCACUAGAUCCCAUCAUAACUCUGUAGUUAAGUGCACUCAGGCUAGAGCAGUACUGGGAUGGGUGACUGCCAAGGAAGUCCUAGUGUUUUAUAUC
Picea glauca (white spruce) is the source of this 123-nucleotide non-coding RNA. The record is from Rfam. Lineage: Eukaryota; Viridiplantae; Streptophyta; Pinopsida; Pinales; Pinaceae.